CAGCAGUAGGGAAUAUUGGGCAAUGGCCCGAGAGGCUGACCCAGCCAUGCCGCGUGCAGGAAGAAGGCCUUCUGGGUUGUAAACUGCUUUUAUCAGGGAAGAAAACGCUCCUGCGGGAGUAACUGACGGUACCUGAUGAAUAAGCACCGGCUAACUCCGUGCCAGCAGCCGCGGUAAUACGGAGGGUGCAAGCGUUGUCCGGAUUUAUUGGGUUUAAAGGGUGCGUAGGCGGCCCGUUAAGUCCGUGGUGAAAUCCCAGGGCUCAACCCUGGAACUGCCAUGGAUACUGGCGGGCUUGAGUUCGGUCGAGGCGGGCGGAACUGGUGGUGUAGCGGUGAAAUGCAUAGAUACCACCAAGAACCCCGAUUGCGUAGGCAGCUCGCUAGGCCGAAACUGACGCUGAGGCACGAAAGCGUGGGGAGCGAACAGGAUUAGAUACCCUGGUAGUCCACGCCGUAAACGAUGAGUACUCGAUGUUGGCGAUACACAGCCAGCGUCCAAGCGAAAGCGUUAAGUACUCCNCCUGGGGAGUACGCCCGCAAGGGUGAA
Molecule: ribosomal RNA, 549 nt
Filed under: uncultured bacterium
Lineage: Bacteria
Description: bacterial SSU rRNA
Rfam family: Bacterial small subunit ribosomal RNA
Source: RNAcentral